RNAcentral lists this ribosomal RNA (423 nucleotides) under Paenibacillaceae bacterium CL7.88. Its description in RNAcentral is "bacterial SSU rRNA". It matches the Rfam family "Bacterial small subunit ribosomal RNA", at positions 92 to 499 of the family's 1533-position model. Lineage: Bacteria; Bacillati; Bacillota; Bacilli; Caryophanales; Paenibacillaceae. The record is from RNAcentral.
UUAGCGGCGGACGGGUGAGUAACACGUAGGYAACCUGCCCUCAAGACUGGGAUAACAUUCGGAAACGAUAGCUAAUACCGGAUACGCGAUUUGUUCUCAUGAUGGAAUARGGAAAGAUGGAGCAAUCUAUCACUUACAGAUGGACCCGCGGCGCAUUAGCUAGUUGGUGAGGUAACGGCUCACCAAGGCGACGAUGCGUAGCCGACCUGAGAGGGUGAUCGGCCACACUGGGACUGAGACACGGCCCAGACUCCUACGGGAGGCAGCAGUAGGGAAUCUUCCGCAAUGGACGAAAGUCUGACGGAGCAACGCCGCGUGAGUGAUGAAGGUUUUCGGAUCGUAAAGCUCUGUUGCCAGGGAAGAAACGUCUYGGKAGAGUAACUGCUACCAGAGUGACGGUACCUGAGAAGAAAGCCCCGGCUA